This 92-nucleotide transfer RNA is filed under the name Bacillus thuringiensis. RNAcentral describes it as "tRNA-OTHER". RNAcentral also lists the same sequence under 1 other name. The record is from RNAcentral. Lineage: Bacteria; Bacillati; Bacillota; Bacilli; Caryophanales; Bacillaceae.
GCCGGGAUGGCGGAAUUGGCAGACGCACGGAAUGAGUCAUUUCGUAGUAGGAGAUCCUACUGUACCGGUUCGAGUCCGGAUUCCCGGCACCA